AGGUCACAGCAGAGGGUUUGCUGCCUCAGUAUGAAACCACUGCCUGGUGUGACAAGCGGAGAGAAGGACAUUGAGUUCCAGUCAUGAUGGCUCACUUGACCCCAGCCCACCUCGUGUGCUUUCAUCAGUCUUUAAUUCUGUCCAUUACACUUGAAAGGAACAGAGAUCAUGGCCAUAAAGAUCCUUAGGAGAAAACAGAGUAAAAUUAUUCAUUUAUUGAACAAAUGUUAAUUAAGCUAUAAUAAAUGUCUGAAUAAAUCAGUGAAGCCCUCAAGCCCCUCCGGACCGUCAACUCCACAGAGAGCCCCUCUGCCUUCAUUUCUCCCUGAUCUGCUCCCAGUGCCCAGGAAAGACUGCCUGUCCUACAGGAAAGGCUCUGAUGAAGGGAGCAUGAAGUCGGCGGCACAGACUUUUCUCUGUGUAAAGCCAGUUGGCACCUACAGGGAUUGAAACCUGCCGUCAGCUCAUGAGCACAGCCCUGUGACUAACUGAGCCAACUGGUCAUUCCAGCACUCAUGCUCUACCAGGUGAAGCGGCUCUCUGUGGCCUGAAAAACCGGACCCCGAUUACCUACAAGGGAAGAUCUGUGAGUGACUGCAGUGACCCAAGAUCCAUGGCCAUCCGGGAGCAGCAAGUACUACUGUCAUCGUUCAUUUGGAGCCAACAAGGAGUGGAUGACAAACCCAAGGGUCUAGCUUUACAUCGACAAAGUCUCUGGGACCAAAAACCCAUUAUCUUGAUACCAUGUAGUUUUCAGAGACAGCAUUUGCAUGUCAGCAAUAAGACCUGGUGUCAGGGCCCCUCCCCAGGCACCUAACUUGUCACCAAGCCUGAUAAGAGGAAGCAUGCUUUUUCCUAGUUUUUAGCACAGUAACCACCAAACAAAAUUGCUAAUGAAGAAAAAAUAUGCCUUUGCUUGUGGCUUAAUACAUAUUUCCUUUUCUCUCAAAGGCUUGCACAUUUCAAAUGUAAUCUGCUCUUUGGGGGCACGUUCUCCCUAGAAGAGUCUAGUGGUGAAGAGCCUCAGCUUCAACCAGGAGGACCCUUUUCUAAUUGCAUCAUGUUGAAUAAGUUACUUAAAUUCCCUGAGACCAGAUUUCUUAUCAUUAAGUGGAAAUACUAAUAGCCCUACCUGUAAGGUUGUUGGGAAUAUUUAAACAAGAUUAUAUAUAUGUGUGUGUGUGUGUGUGUGUGUGUAUAAAAUGCUUAGUACAAAACCUAACCUAGUUAAUGCUCAAUACAGUUAAAUAUUACGAUUACUAAAUGAACUAAUAAAUAUACACAUGCCCAGUACAGCUUGGUGGUUAACAAAUGUUAGGAUAAUAUUUGUAAACUGUGGGGCACUAUUCAUAUGUCAGGUCUGAAUAUUAUUAGCACUUGCCUUAGUGAUGAAGCUUUCAGUUCAGUCAUGGUCCAGUAAGAGAUGAGUCAGAAGGAAAAUUAGGGCACACAGCAGAUGGCUUUCCCAAGCAUAUGACCUAUUCAGUCUUGAAAAUCAGCCCAGGCACUGGUCAACUGCAGUCCUUGGGUAUUCUGCAUUUGAAUCGCUAUCAAAUAUUUUCCUCUCUUUCCAUCCUUGCUAAAAGGAAUGACCUUUCUUCUUUAAAACACAGAACACUCCAAGGAAAGCAUUAGAAGGAGAAAGUUCAAAUCUGGCCUUUGACCUUACCCUCUCCUAGAAUCAUUCUCCUUCCUACUGCCUGCAUUGCAAUCUGGUCCAUGGGAAUGCAUUAGAGCUCACACCUGGAUGAAGUCCCCUUUCUUUAGUUUCUCUCAGGAUGUCUAAACGUGGCUGAGCUGUUUAAGAACUUGACUGCCAGCCCAUGGUUCUUGAACCCAUUGACAAUGAAGCUGUGUGUUUCACAUGACAAAAGACCUUUUGCUUCUCUUUCCUGAUUGUUUUCAUUUGUUGUUUUGGCUCCCUCUUGCUGGACACUGCAGGCAUCAGAUAAUAAGCAGAGCUCUCAACUGACAGGUCUGGGGUGCAGCAAAAUGGGCCAGAGCUGAGGAAAAGGCACUGCUAGGGUGGGCUCGGUAAUUAUGUGGUGUUAGAGCACGCUUUUGAUCCUAUUUGAACAUGUCUAAUUUAAUGAACUCUUGAAAUUCUUUUCAAGGAUGCAGAUGAUUUAUGGCAUACUAGAACUCUACUUCAGCAGUUCCUAAAGCAUGGCUUGUGCAUCUCUGGAGGCCCCUGAGACUCUGGGGUUCCCUGAGGCCAAAACAACUGUCAUAAUAAUGCCAGGAUAUUAUGGGACCUUUUUUACUGGGUUGACAUUUGCACUAAUGGCACAAAAACAAUAGUGGGCAUAACUCUGUGAAUCAAAAGAGUGGUAUCUAACUGUACUUCUUAUUUGGCAUUGUGUUCUUUAACCUCACACACUGUCAGUAAAAAAAAAGAAAAUAUCAGUUUUACUUAAAAAUGCCCUUAAAGAAGCAGUAAAAAGUAUUCAUUUUAUUAAACCAAAAUUUUUGAGUACAUGGAACACCAUUUUUACUUAAAAGAAUAACCGAGGGCUUCCCUGGUGGCGCAGUGGUUGGGAGUCCGCCUGACGAUGCAGGGGACACGGGUUCGUGCCCCGGUCCGGGAAGAUCCCACAUGCCGCGGAGCGGCUGGGCCCGUGCGCCAUGGCCGCUGAGCCUGCGCGUCCGGAGCCUGUGCUCCGCAACGGGAGAGGCC
Molecule: long non-coding RNA, 2677 nt
Organism: Orcinus orca (killer whale)
Lineage: Eukaryota; Metazoa; Chordata; Mammalia; Artiodactyla; Delphinidae
Exons: 3
Source: RefSeq, a predicted model, not a curated record